This is a non-coding RNA of Saimiri boliviensis boliviensis (Bolivian squirrel monkey), 499 nucleotides long. The record is from the annotation of a RefSeq genome assembly. Lineage: Eukaryota; Metazoa; Chordata; Mammalia; Primates; Cebidae.
CUGCUUGCUGAUCAGGGCGGCACACAGAGCACUCACCAUGAAGUAUGAACUGAGCUGGGUUUUCCUUGUUGCUAUUUUAAAAGGUGUCCAGUGUGAGGUGCAGCUGGUGGAGUCUGGGGGAGGCUUGGUUCAGCCUAGGGGGUCGCUGAGACUCUCCUGUGCAGCCUCUGGAUUCACCUUCAGUAGCUAUGCCAUGAGCUGGGUCCGCCAGGCUCCUGGGAAGGGGCUGGAGUGGGUCUCAGCUAUCAGUACUGAUGGGAGUGGCACAAGCUAUGCAGACUCCGUGAAGGGCCGAUUCACCAUCUCCAGAGACAACGCCAAGAACUCGCUGUAUCUGCAGAUGAACAGCCUGAGAGCAGAGGACACCGCCGUGUAUCACUGUGAGAGAGACACAGGUGGAUACACCUUUUGUUCCCAGGUGCUCUAUGAAUGGGCAACUCUGCCAUCUCAGGGCUCUGAUCGCCAGCUAAGAGGGCUCCCAGACCAGUGGCUUUUGUAG